Molecule: non-coding RNA, 103 nt
Organism: Acanthosepion pharaonis
Lineage: Eukaryota; Metazoa; Mollusca; Cephalopoda; Sepiida; Sepiidae
Source: the annotation of a GenBank genome assembly
CACGCUGAAACACCGGGUCUCGUACGAUUACAGAAGUUAAGGAAAGACGAGCCUGGCCAGUAGCUAGAUGGGUGACCGCUGGAGAAGACCAGGCGCUGUAAUC